RNAcentral lists this microRNA precursor (89 nucleotides) under Ovis aries (sheep). RNAcentral describes it as "miRNA (ENSOARG00000023812.1)". Lineage: Eukaryota; Metazoa; Chordata; Mammalia; Artiodactyla; Bovidae. The record is from RNAcentral.
CACCUGAGGGGCCUGUUAAAAUAUGGAUUCCCAAGUGCGGGGUUGGCCUUGUGAAUCUGCAUUUCUAACAAGAUCCCAGGUGAUUUGAA